This is a long non-coding RNA of Mercurialis annua (annual mercury), 974 nucleotides long. RefSeq lists it as uncharacterized. The transcript is spliced from 3 exons. NCBI's taxonomy places the organism in Eukaryota, Viridiplantae, Streptophyta, Magnoliopsida, Malpighiales, Euphorbiaceae. The record is from RefSeq and is a predicted model, not a curated record.
UUCUAUUUCCCUAUAUUUGGCAGUUUUUUCUCUCUUCUUCUUCACCACUUUGCUCCACCUUCUUGCAUUUUCUCCAUUAUUCCUUUUUCUUUUCGUUUUCUUUCAGAUUCGUCUCCACGACUGCUACUUAUUUAUACUGAGAUGCGCAAUUCAUCAAUCUGUUCUGUUUAUUUUAUCUGUUAAUGAGGAAGAAAUAUGUUGGUCAUAAACCAGAUAGAAAUCAAUCUUCGGUUGAUACACGCUCCGAAAUGUUAAAUCUUGAUAAUGUUGGUGAUGAGUGUAUGUCUAGGCGAAUUGAGGACUUACCUGCUGUUGAGACGAAUGGAGUAGUUGAGUCGUCCGAGUUAUUUGAAAUUGCUUUAAAUAAGGAAGAGGACGCUGCACAACAACCCAUUUCUGUUGAAAAAAAGGACUAUGUCUUGUAGCCCAUUAUUCCAGAAAAGUCGGAGGAAGCAUUGGACAUUGCUACUAAACUGCCACGAGCAAAACAUACAAAAUCGAUGAUUAUUGAAAGUCGGUUAAAAAAUGUCUCUCCCGAUGUUGAUCAGGACAUAAUAGCACCAGAAACUGUUGUAAUUGAAUCACAACGGUCUAAUCAAGAAUUAUCGAAACCGGCUUCUCGAUCUUCAAAGUGUUUAAAGAAUAUUGAAACUCCUUCGUUUGUUUCAGAUAUGGCUAAACUAAAGGCAUCAUAUACUACCAAAAAAACAAGCCAAGCAAGUUUCCGACGAAACUAAUAUGAAAGAUAAUAGUGUUGAUGAAGUUGGCGUACCGGAUGUAGAAAUACAGAAGAAGCCUCGUUGUAAUGCGAAGAGGAAAGUGACAUGUGAAUCAACUGAUGACGAUAGCGGUGCGGAUAAAAUUGCUAAGCAAUCGCCAAUUAAUAAGAAAAUUAGCAAGUCUGUUUCUGGAUCGAAGAGAAAACCUUCCACUUAAAUUUAUGAUGAUGAAAGUGUGGUGGUUGAUAAAAUUAC